GCGCGCGUAGCGAAAUAGGUAGACGCACCGGAUUUAGGUUCUGGCGUCCAAAGGCACUGCCGGUUCCAGUCCGGCCGUGCGCA
This 83-nucleotide transfer RNA is filed under the name Candidatus Burkholderia crenata. RNAcentral's name for it is "tRNA-Leu". It matches the Rfam family "tRNA". From Rfam's summary of the family: Transfer RNA (tRNA) molecules are approximately 80 nucleotides in length. Their secondary structure includes four short double-helical elements and three loops (D, anti-codon, and T loops). Further hydrogen bonds mediate the characteristic L-shaped molecular structure. tRNAs have two regions of fundamental functional importance: the anti-codon, which is responsible for specific mRNA codon recognition, and the 3' end, to which the tRNAs corresponding amino acid is attached (by aminoacyl-tRNA synthetases). tRNAs cope with the degeneracy of the genetic code in two manners: having more than one tRNA (with a specific anti-codon) for a particular amino acid; and 'wobble' base-pairing, i.e. permitting non-standard base-pairing at the 3rd anti-codon position. Lineage: Bacteria; Pseudomonadati; Pseudomonadota; Betaproteobacteria; Burkholderiales; Burkholderiaceae. The record is from RNAcentral.